This 253-nucleotide ribosomal RNA is filed under the name uncultured bacterium. RNAcentral describes it as "partial 16S ribosomal RNA". It matches the Rfam family "Bacterial small subunit ribosomal RNA", at positions 524 to 776 of the family's 1533-position model. The record is from RNAcentral.
UACGUAGGGUGCGAGCGUUAAUCGGAAUUACUGGGCGUAAAGCGUGCGCAGGCGGUUCGCUAAGACAGAUGUGAAAGCCCCGGGCCUAACCUGGGAACUGCGUUUGUAACUGGCGGGCUGGAGUGCGGAAGAGGGAGGUGGAAGUCCACGUGUAGCAGUGAAAUGCGUAGAGAUGUGGAGGAACACCGAUGGCGAAGGCAGCCUCCUGGUCUAGCACUGACGCUCAUGCACGAAAGCGUGGGGAGCAAACAGG